Long non-coding RNA from Prunus dulcis (almond), 631 nucleotides. RefSeq lists it as uncharacterized. The record is from RefSeq and is a predicted model, not a curated record. The transcript is spliced from 4 exons. Lineage: Eukaryota; Viridiplantae; Streptophyta; Magnoliopsida; Rosales; Rosaceae.
GACGACAGCGACUUCUCGUCGUCGCCACCGCCACCACACGCCGCCACUUGGGGCGGCACCGGUCCCGUUGGAACCACCACACUCCCUACUUUCCAUUCCACCCCAGCGCCGCCUCGAUCCGCCACCGUGGUCGCCGGAAUCAGCCACGAAAGGUAGCGGUUUGGACAGAUUUUUCCCAAACUUUCGGCCCUUCGUUCUCUCUCAUUUCUCCACCAAAUUGGACGAGUAAGGUGCUGGUGUUAUUCUCUGCAUAGAAAAGGCAAUUAGCUCAGUCUGGGAUGUCUAGAGGAGAUGUUAAUUACAUCAACGCACAUGCUACAUCCACACCGUUCAGAGACCUCAAAAAGUAUAAUGCUCUUAUUCAUUGUUUUGGCCAGAAUACUCCUGAGUUGAGAGUAAAACUCUACAAAAUCCAUGAUUGGUGACCUAUACUAGCUAGGAGCAGCUCGUGCUGUAGAAGCUGUUGCAGCAGUACAGAGACUUUGGUGGGAUGGAAAGGCUUGACAUGUUCUUCCCAUUUGACCCAUGUCUGCCGAAAAAAAGAGUGACAGGUUUGUAUUGGCUAUGAAUUGAUCCUUGCAUUAGGAGAUUCCUUUCUAUCUAAUUUCAAAUAUAACAUUGGAAAAACUCA